This 118-nucleotide ribosomal RNA is filed under the name Sinocyclocheilus rhinocerous. The record is from RNAcentral. Lineage: Eukaryota; Metazoa; Chordata; Actinopteri; Cypriniformes; Cyprinidae.
UAUAGCAGCCAUAUCACCCUACAGCCCAAGACUGGUUGCCCACUGAAGCUAAAACAGGGUUGAGCCUGGUCAGUACCUGGAUGGGAGACCUCCUGGGAAAACUAGGUUGCUGCUGGAA